This 74-nucleotide transfer RNA is filed under the name Planctomycetaceae bacterium. RNAcentral's name for it is "tRNA-Cys". It matches the Rfam family "tRNA". Rfam says of the family: Transfer RNA (tRNA) molecules are approximately 80 nucleotides in length. Their secondary structure includes four short double-helical elements and three loops (D, anti-codon, and T loops). Further hydrogen bonds mediate the characteristic L-shaped molecular structure. tRNAs have two regions of fundamental functional importance: the anti-codon, which is responsible for specific mRNA codon recognition, and the 3' end, to which the tRNAs corresponding amino acid is attached (by aminoacyl-tRNA synthetases). tRNAs cope with the degeneracy of the genetic code in two manners: having more than one tRNA (with a specific anti-codon) for a particular amino acid; and 'wobble' base-pairing, i.e. permitting non-standard base-pairing at the 3rd anti-codon position. The record is from RNAcentral. Lineage: Bacteria; Pseudomonadati; Planctomycetota; Planctomycetia; Planctomycetales; Planctomycetaceae. RNAcentral also lists the same sequence under 2 other names.
GGCGCCGUGCCCAAGUGGUUUAAGGGAGCGGAUUGCAAAUCCGUUAUUCAUCGGUUCGAAUCCGAUCGGCGCCU